AACGAACGCUGGCGGCAGGCUUAACACAUGCAAGUCGAACGCUCGUAGCAAUACGGGAGUGGCGGACGGGUGAGUAACGCGUGGGAACGUGCCCUGAGGUACGGAAUAACUGAGGGAAACUUCAGCUAAUACCGUAUGAGCCCCGAGAGGGGGAAAGAUUUAUCGCCUUGGGAGCGGCCCGCGUCGGAUUAGCUAGUUGGUGGGGUAACGGCCUACCAAGGCUUCGAUCCGUAGCUGGUCUGAGAGGACGAUCAGCCACACUGGGACUGAGACACGGCCCAGACUCCUACGGGAGGCAGCAGUAGGGAAUCUUCCGCAAUGGACGAAAGUCUGACGGAGCAACGCCGCGUGAGUGAUGAAGGUUUUCGGAUCGUAAAACUCUGUUGUUAGGGAAGAACAAGUGCCGUUCGAAAGGGCGGCACCUUGACGGUACCUAACGAGAAAGCCACGGCUAACUACGUGCCAGCAGCCGCGGUAAAGUACAGUGU
RNAcentral lists this ribosomal RNA (488 nucleotides) under uncultured bacterium. RNAcentral's name for it is "bacterial SSU rRNA". It matches the Rfam family "Bacterial small subunit ribosomal RNA", at positions 29 to 532 of the family's 1533-position model. The record is from RNAcentral.